RNAcentral lists this ribosomal RNA (511 nucleotides) under candidate division WWE3 bacterium. Its description in RNAcentral is "bacterial SSU rRNA". It matches the Rfam family "Bacterial small subunit ribosomal RNA", at positions 1 to 450 of the family's 1533-position model. Lineage: Bacteria; candidate division WWE3. The record is from RNAcentral.
UUUUUGAGAAUUUGAUCCUAGUUCAGGAUGAAUGCUAGCGGCGUGCCUAAGGUAUGCAAGUCGAACGAUUUAUUUGUUCCAACGCAAGGCGGAACUUUUAAGUAGUGGCGAACGGCUGAGUAACACGUAGGAAUCUACCCCCAACCCGGAAAUAAUUCGCCGAAAGGCGGACUAAUGUCCGAUGUGAAGGAAACUUCAAAGGUUGCACUGUUUUUGGUUUAAGUUUUUCUUAAACCUAAAGCAGUAAUCCACAAGAAACUUGUUUUUUGUGGUAAUCGGUUAGGGAUGAGCCUGCGGCCUAUCAGUUAGUUGGUGGGGUAAUUGCCUACCAAGACUAUGACGGGUAUCUGGUCUGAGAGGAUGUCCAGACAGAGGGGCACUGAGACACGGGCCUCACUCCUACGGGAGGCAGCAAUCGGGAAUUUUGCACAAUGGACGAAAGUCUGAUGCAGCGACGCCGCGUGAAGGAUGAAGGCCUUCGGGUUGUAAACUUCUUUGAUGAGGGACGAAU